CAGUCGCCGCGGUAAUACGAAGGGGGCUAGCGUUGCUCGGAAUCACUGGGCGUAAAGGGUGCGUAGGCGGGUCUUUAAGUCAGGGGUGAAAUCCUGGAGCUCAACUCCAGAACUGCCUUUGAUACUGAAGAUCUUGAGUUCGGGAGAGGUGAGUGGAACUGCGAGUGUAGAGGUGAAAUUCGUAGAUAUUCGCAAGAACACCAGUGGCGAAGGCGGCUCACUGGCCCGAUACUGACGCUGAGGCACGAAAGCGUGGGGAGCAAACAGGAUUAGAUACCCGCGUAGUCCCUGUCUCUUAUAC
Molecule: ribosomal RNA, 301 nt
Filed under: uncultured bacterium
Lineage: Bacteria
Description: partial 16S ribosomal RNA
Rfam family: Bacterial small subunit ribosomal RNA
Source: RNAcentral